GACGAACGCUGGCGGCGUGCUUAACACAUGCAAGUCGUACGGUAAGGCCCUUUCGGGGGUACACGAGUGGCGAACGGGUGAGUAACACGUGCGUAACCUGCCCACAACUUUGGGAUAACGCUAGGAAACUGGUGCUAAUACUGGAUAUGUGCUCCUGCUGCAUGGUGGGGGUUGGAAAGCUCCGGCGGUUGUGGAUGGACUCGCGGCCUAUCUGCUUGUUGGUGGGGUAGUGGCCUACCAAGGCGGCGACGGGUAGCCGGCCUGAGAGGGUGACCGGCCACAUUGGGACUGAGAUACGGCCCAGACUCCUACGGGAGGCAGCAGUGGGGAAUAUUGCACAAUGGGCGCAAGCCUGAUGCAGCAACGCCGCGUGCGGGAUGACGGCCUUCGGGUUGUAAACCGCUUUCAGCAGGGACGAAGCUUUUUGUGACGGUACCUGCAGAAGAAGCACCGGCUAACUACGUG
RNAcentral lists this ribosomal RNA (465 nucleotides) under uncultured bacterium. RNAcentral's name for it is "partial 16S ribosomal RNA". It matches the Rfam family "Bacterial small subunit ribosomal RNA", at positions 28 to 507 of the family's 1533-position model. The record is from RNAcentral.